GCACCACAAACCGAUCUGGAAUCUUCUCGAUGAUAGAUUUGAGUAGGAGCGUACCUGUUGGGACCCGAAAGAUGGUGAACUAUGCCUGAAUAGGGUGAAGCCAGAGGAAACUCUGGUGGAGGCUCGUAGCGAUACUGACGUGCAAAUCGUUCGUCAAAUUUGGGUAUAGGGGCGAAAGAC
Molecule: ribosomal RNA, 180 nt
Filed under: Moneuplotes crassus
Lineage: Eukaryota; Ciliophora; Spirotrichea; Euplotida; Euplotidae
Description: partial Eukaryotic large subunit ribosomal RNA
Rfam family: Eukaryotic large subunit ribosomal RNA
Source: RNAcentral